CCUGAUGCAGUGUGCAGAUGAUGUAUUAUAGAGUUGUACACUUGAAACCUGUAUGAUCUUGGUAACCAGUGUCACGCCAAUAAAUUUAAAUUUUUUAAAAAAUGCAAGAAUAUGUUCAGAUUAGAAAAUGAUGCUACUCAGCCACACUGAACUAAAGGGCAAUGAAGUGACUAGUGUGACGAUUAUGGAGGCUCUUUUGGACUCGGUGAGAAAUUACACCAUUGGAAUUGACUGUUAACUUGUGCAGUGAUUUUCUGAGUCUUUUAAUCUCUUCAAAAUGUGAAUGUGAAAAGGUCAGCAUUGUACUCUUAUGUGAAGAAGUUGUGUUCAAUAAAUACAUAUUGAACGAACCAAUGUGAAAAAAGAAACUUUCAGUUUUAUUCUUCCAAGUAUCUUCCGUGUAGCACACCAGUGAGCACACGGAGUCUGCAGUUAAAUGCUUCUCACAGAUGAGGCUAUCUGCCUGGCUCAUGAUCCAGUCAGGCUUGCUAAUUCAGCUAUUGCAUCCAACCAAUUGUUUACUUAUACUGAGGGUUACUUAGUUUUCAUACAACUUGAAUCAUUUCAUGGAUUUUGAUGUUUAAAUAUAUAACUUUGUUACAUGUUUUCUCAUCUAAUGCAUUUGCAUUAAUCUAAUACAUUAAAUCUAAUUGCAUUCUGAUUUCCUGGGAUGAAUAUUUAGUCGUUAAACAAAAGGAACAGUUUUUGAAUAAUUAUUCAUAAUAUGUAAGUAAUCUAAGUAGUGUACUUAUUUUAAUUUAAAAUAUAGUAUCUUUGCUUUCCAAAAGGGUAUAAUAUAUAUAAAUUCUGAUGUUAUCUGAAUUUAAACAGUUGAAUUUAUGAAGCAUAUUUUCCCUUGAAGUAAAUGGCAGUAAUGUCUCAAUGCCCAGAUGUUUUUUAAGUCAAUUAUUUAGCAAGAACAAAGCCUAAAGGAAAGGACUGCACGUGUGUGUGCACACAUGCACACGUGCUUCAGGAUAGAGGUAGGAACUGGAUGCCUGUGUUGUCUGUGGAGAAACUCGGGUUCCGUUGCCUUUGAUCUUCCCCAUGCAGAGCCUUUGCCGCGGGUUUCCCUUGAGCCCAAAGGGGGCUUUUACACUUCCAUGUGUAAUUUUGUAUGGUUCUACAUAUCACCCAUCUUAUGAAAGCAGCUUUACUGACCUGUUUUCCACAUGGCAUGAAAUUCACCUGUCUAAAGUGUACAGGUCAAUGAGUUUUUAGUAUAUUCGCAAAGUUGUACAUCUGUCAUAAUCUAAUUUUGGGAUGUUUUCAUCACCCAGAAAGAAACUCCAUAAUCAUUAACCAUCGUUCCCAUUCCCCCAAUUCCACUCCUCCUCCCCAGUCAGCCCUAAGUACGGUGAUCACCGACUGCCUUCUGUCUCUGGACUUACUCUGUUGUGUUGCCGAAUAACAUUUCAUUACAUGGCUAUAUCAUGUUAUUCAUCUGUUGAUGAACAUUUGGGUAUUUUCACUUAGGGGCUAUCAUGAAAAGGCUGCUAUGAACAUUUGUGUACAAAUUUUCAUGUCCUCACCAUUUUAAACUUUCUUUCGAUGGAGAGAAGGUAGGGUUUGUAUUCAAUAUAUUAUAUCAUAAGAUUUGCAUUAGAAUUCCCUAGAUUUUUAACUUACUAUGAGUACAGCACAUAUCAUCCAGUGAUUUAAAUACAGUUUGCUAAAUUAGUAGGUAACUCAACCAUUUAGAGUCUCUCCUUUGUCUUUUUGAGGAUUUUAGAAACUGACUAGGUAAGCAAAAACAGCCCUUUUUGCUUUCAUCAGUGCUAGAUUCCAUUUCAAAGGACUCUGGAGUUUGAUAUUUCUUUCAUAUCUUGGUCAAGAAUGGAGAAUGACUUAGUGUGAAUCCAUUUACGGUUGGUUGUCUGUCUUCUGUCACGAAAAGCUGAAUGACAACAAUAGGCCACAGCCUUGUUUGUUAUUUUUCAUCUCAGUCAUAUACUCGUAUUCGUGUUGUUGUUAUUGGUCAUUGUUGUUGUUGCUUAGGGUGGAACUGAAAGCAAACACCUGCACACUUGGAAUGCUGAACAGCUUCCGGUGUAUAGAAAUUAAUUUAAGACACGUCAUUGAUUGAACAAAUGAAGUGAGUGUGCCCGGUAGCUCAUGCUGAACUUGGGCAGUCAUUAGGAAAGUAGUUCAAAGAAUGUGAUUAAAGGUAGGAAAAUUUAAGUGUGUUACUCACGUUGUCUUCUGGACUUUGACUCAAGUCUGAAUUUGGAGGUUUAUGUAUUGAAAAUAGGACCCCUUAAUCAAAUCAGGGCUAAAAAUAAGUAGUCAAAGCAGACAUAAUCAGUAGUCUCAAUUAAAAUAAACAUUUUAGCAAAUUAGAAAACUAGCUUUUAUAGCCUACCUUUAAAAAGUGAGGCUUGGUAAGGUAUGUUUGGUCACAGCAGUGCUAGUUUAUUGGAACUAACACGAAUAUCUCCAGGAAAAGCCGAUGUGAGAUUCGGUUAUUUCAUGGAGUUGGGUCAGGUCGGUCUGACAAGCACCAGGGUUUCUAACUCAUUAAGAUGGCGUGCUCCAGCCAGGAUUUUAUAAAUUGUUUAUUUCUUUCAAAUAAAUAAAAGCAUUUAACUAAAGCUUUUAAAAUAAAAGAAUGGUAGAUGUCUCUAUUUUUUAUAAAUCGUGUGAAAACUUCAGUCUUGAGAGAAAGCAGGACUUAAAAGUAAGUCACUUGACUUAGUUGUGGCCUGUCGCAGCUUUUUGCUUAACAAAAUAUGAUGAAGAACAGUUACAAUUAGCUUAGUUUCUGCCAAAUUUGGGGUCGGCCUAAUUUAUUAUUUGUGGUUUAAUAUUUUAAAAGCAGGGUCAUGUUUUAUGGUAUUACUUUGGUAUCCAUAGGAAAUCCCAAACAGUUCUCGGAAUUAAGGGGGUACUUUAGGCUUAUUUUAAGAUGUUUCAUAAUGUUUGCUUGCAUUUUACCCCAGUGGCCUAGUGGAAAGCUUUUAAAAAGUAGCAAUACUUAGCUUGCCUUGGUGUUCCUAGAUAGUAUGUUCCUUUUUAAAGGCUUGGUUCAAAUAUUGCCCCUUUUCUAAAGCUUUUCUCAUCCAUCCAACCCAAAUCCUUUGCAGAAUUAAUUGUCCCCAAUUCUGUCUUCUUAAUGUGUUAUCUACUUCUCUUAAUAGCUUCGAUGAUGUUAUUUGAUAGUUAUUUAUUUUCCAGUCUGCCUCCUGCUAAGAUUCUAAAAGUUAAGGAUUAUAUUGUAACCUUAACACUAAGAACAAGGCAUGGCACUAGAGGUACAGAUUAAGUUUUGGUAAAAAUUCUAAUCCUUUGGUUGAGUGUUUUAGUUUCUACCUUUGUUACUCAAAGAUACCAUCCUCUACUUUUAGCUUUACGGUAAGAAAUAUAUGCAUUGUGAUCAUAAUUUUUUAAGGUUUUAUUUAUUUAUUUUUAGGGAGCAGGAAAGGGAGGGAGGAAGAGAGGAAGAGAAACAUCAGUGUGUAAGAAAUACCGAUUGGUUGCCCCUCGCAAACCCCCAAAUGGGGACCUGGGCCGAAACUGGGAAUUGAACCGUCAACCUUUUGGUUCACCAGCCAGUGCUCAGUCUACUGAGCCACACCAGCCAGGGCUUGUGAUCAUAAUUUUGACAAAACAACACCCUGCCUCCUCUUUCAGUAAAGAAUUAGAAUUACAGAGAACUAGAGACAAAAUUAAAGAGCCUGGAUAGUACAGGUUAGUGGUUCUCAAACUUUAGCUUGCAUCGUGAUCACCUGAAGGGCUUUUUAAAACAUGGGUUCUUGGGCCCACACUCUGGAGUUUCUAAUUCAGUAGCUCUGGGAGGGGGCCUGAGAACUUGUAUGUCUAACGUGCUCCCAAAGUGAUGUUGUUGUGGUUGGCCCAAGGACCACACUUUGAGAACUGCUGAUGUAGGUUAUAACUGCUAACUAACCCACCUGAAAGACCUGUGCUGAAGUAGGAUCUGACCCUGAUCUCCCCAUCUAGAUCGAUCUCUGAGGUCCUGAGGGGAAAACUACUCCAUAAUUGCAAAGCUCUCUACAGGCAUCUACACAGCACAGUGAAGCUGUUGAUGAUCAAACCCGAGUGCCCAAAGGGGCGGGGGUGCCUUCUAAGGAAGAUUGGUGGAUCUCUCUUGGUAUCUCAUCAUCUGCAAUUAUGAAGAGUAUGUAAUGGGCACACAGUAAGAACUUGUUGACUAGCUGAUAAAACUAGGUGAGAGCUCUAACCUUCUGAUGUUAUUAUUUGUUUUGUGAUUCUUGCUCAAGGAAAUUUUUUUUUUUACUGUUGAUUUUAGUGAGAGGGGGAGGGAGAGAGAGAAAUGUUGAUGUGAGAAAGAAACAUCCAUCUGUUGCCUCCCAUGCACACGCCGACGAGGAGUUGAACCCCAACCUUUCAGUGUGCAGGUCGAUGCUCCACCCACCGGAGCGAUCUGGCCAGGGCUCUGCCACCCUUCGGAUUUUAGGUCAGUAGUCUGACACCUGUAAAGUACUUCUUUCACUUUUACUUCCAUAUUGGUUUGAAAGCAAAUAAAGUUAAUGAAAAUUACAUUCAUUAAGUGUAAUUAUUAAGCAGUAUAGUAAAUGUUUAUGUAGCAUCUAAUUAACCAUAUUUUCUCCUCUGUUAUAUGUAGCCAUAUUGAUUACCCAUAAAUUGUGUUUAAGACCCUAAAUUUGGCUGGUACUGUCAAUGAAAGAGUAUUUUUUCAUUCAGUACAUGUUUAUUGUAUGUUAACUAUGUACAGGUUAAGCGCUGGAGUUUAGUGAUGCAGACUAUUACAAACAGUAUAUAUAAUUUUCUGGCUAAGAAUGUUUUCUGUUCUAAUUUUAAAUUAAUAAUUGAUGAAUGUUGUAAAUCAGAUUACUCAGAUAUAUCAAAACUGAAUAUUC
Molecule: long non-coding RNA, 4859 nt
Organism: Phyllostomus discolor (pale spear-nosed bat)
Lineage: Eukaryota; Metazoa; Chordata; Mammalia; Chiroptera; Phyllostomidae
Exons: 2
Source: RefSeq, a predicted model, not a curated record